Molecule: ribosomal RNA, 253 nt
Filed under: uncultured bacterium
Lineage: Bacteria
Description: partial 16S ribosomal RNA
Rfam family: Bacterial small subunit ribosomal RNA
Source: RNAcentral
UACAGGGGGUGCGAGCGUUGUUCGGAAUUAUUGGGCGUAAAGGGCGCGUAGGCGGUGCCACAAGUCACCUGUGAAAUCCCCGGGCUUAACUCGGGGCCUGCAGGCGAAACUGUGGUGCUGGAGUAUGGGAGAGGUGCGUGGAAUUCACGGUGUAGCAGUGAAAUGCGUAGAUAUCGUGAGGAAGACCGGUGGCGAAGGCGGAUCUCUGGACAGUUCCUGACGCUGAGGCGCGAAGGCCAGGGGAGCAAACGGG